UUAAUUUGAGAGUUUGAUCCUGGCUCAGGACGAACGCUGGCGGCGUGCCUAAUACAUGCAAGUCGAACGAACUCUGGUAUUGAUUGGUGCUUGCAUCAUGAUUUACAUUUGAGUGAGUGGCGAACUGGUGAGUAACACGUGGGAAACCUGCCCAGAAGCGGGGGAUAACACCUGGAAACAGAUGCUAAUACCGCAUAACAACUUGGACCGCAUGGUCCGAGUUUGAAAGAUGGCUUCGGCUAUCACUUUUGGAUGGUCCCGCGGCGUAUUAGCUAGAUGGUGGGGUAACGGCUCACCAUGGUAAUGAUACGUAGCCGACCUGAGAGGGUAAUCGGCCACAUUGGGACUGAGACACGGCCCAAACUCCUACGGGAGGCAGCAGUAGGGAAUCUUCCACAAUGGACGAAAGUCUGAUGGAGCAACGCCGCGUGAGUGAAGAAGGGUUUCGGCUCGUAAAACUCUGUUGUUAAAGAAGAACAUAUCUGAGAGUAACUGUUCAGGUAUUGACGGUAUUUAACCAGAAAGCCACGGCUAACUACGUGCCAGCAGCCGCGGUAAUACGUAGGUGGCAAGCGUUGUCCGGAUUUAUUGGGCGUAAAGCGAGCGCAGGCGGUUUUUUAAGUCUGAUGUGAAAGCCUUCGGCUCAACCGAAGAAGUGCAUCGGAAACUGGGAAACUUGAGUGCAGAAGAGGACAGUGGAACUCCAUGUGUAGCGGUGAAAUGCGUAGAUAUAUGGAAGAACACCAGUGGCGAAGGCGGCUGUCUGGUCUGUAACUGACGCUGAGGCUCGAAAGUAUGGGUAGCAAACAGGAUUAGAUACCCUGGUAGUCCAUACCGUAAACGAUGAAUGCUAAGUGUUGGAGGGUUUCCGCCCUUCAGUGCUGCAGCUAACGCAUUAAGCAUUCCGCCUGGGGAGUACGGCCGCAAGGCUGAAACUCAAAGGAAUUGACGGGGGCCCGCACAAGCGGUGGAGCAUGUGGUUUAAUUCGAAGCUACGCGAAGAACCUUACCAGGUCUUGACAUACUAUGCAAAUCUAAGAGAUUAGACGUUCCCUUCGGGGACAUGGAUACAGGUGGUGCAUGGUUGUCGUCAGCUCGUGUCGUGAGAUGUUGGGUUAAGUCCCGCAACGAGCGCAACCCUUAUUAUCAGUUGCCAGCAUUAAGUUGGGCACUCUGGUGAGACUGCCGGUGACAAACCGGAGGAAGGUGGGGAUGACGUCAAAUCAUCAUGCCCCUUAUGACCUGGGCUACACACGUGCUACAAUGGAUGGUACAACGAGUUGCGAACUCGCGAGAGUAAGCUAAUCUCUUAAAGCCAUUCUCAGUUCGGAUUGUAGGCUGCAACUCGCCUACAUGAAGUCGGAAUCGCUAGUAAUCGCGGAUCAGCAUGCCGCGGUGAAUACGUUCCCGGGCCUUGUACACACCGCCCGUCACACCAUGAGAGUUUGUAACACCCAAAGUCGGUGGGGUAACCUUUUAGGAACCAGCCGCCUAAGGUGGGACAGAUGAUUAGGGUGAAGUCGUAACAAGGUAGCCGUAGGAGAACCUGCGGCUGGAUCACCUCCUUUCUAAGGAA
RNAcentral lists this ribosomal RNA (1576 nucleotides) under Lactiplantibacillus plantarum. Its description in RNAcentral is "Lactobacillus plantarum 16S ribosomal RNA". It matches the Rfam family "Bacterial small subunit ribosomal RNA". Lineage: Bacteria; Bacillati; Bacillota; Bacilli; Lactobacillales; Lactobacillaceae. The record is from RNAcentral.